Molecule: ribosomal RNA, 538 nt
Filed under: uncultured bacterium
Lineage: Bacteria
Description: bacterial SSU rRNA
Rfam family: Bacterial small subunit ribosomal RNA
Source: RNAcentral
GAACGUUGGCGGCGUGCCUAACACAUGCAAGUCGAGGGGCAGCAGGCUACUACCUUCGGGUAGUAGUGCUGGCGACCGGCAAACGGGUGAGUAACACGUAGCUAACCUACCCAUAGGUUGGGGAUAACCAUCCGAAAGGGUGGCUAAUACCCAAUAAAGAGGGGACUCCAAAGCCCUUACGGGUGCCUAUGGAUGGGGCUGCGUCCCAUCAGCUAGUUGGUGAGGUAAAGGCUCACCAAGGCUACGACGGGUAACCGGUCUGAGAGGAUGAUCGGUCACAGUGGGACUGAGACACGGCCCGCACCCCUACGGGGGGCAGCAGUGGGGAAUAUUGGGCAAUGGCCGAAAGGCUGACCCAGCAACGCCGCGUGGUGGAAGAAGCCCUUCGGGGUGUAAACACCUUUUCUGGGGGAAGACAAUGACGGUACCCCAGGAAUAAGGGACGGCUAACUACGUGCCAGCAGCCGCGGUAAUACGUAGGUCCCGAACGUUGCGCGAAAUUACUGGGCGUAAAGGGUCCGUAGGCGGUCUGGUAAGU